This 513-nucleotide ribosomal RNA is filed under the name uncultured bacterium. Its description in RNAcentral is "partial 16S ribosomal RNA". It matches the Rfam family "Bacterial small subunit ribosomal RNA", at positions 28 to 523 of the family's 1533-position model. The record is from RNAcentral.
GAUGAACGCUGGCGGCGUGCCUAAUACAUGCAAGUCGAGCGAACAGACGAGGAGCUUGCUCCUCUGACGUUAGCGGCGGACGGGUGAGUAACACGUGGAUAACCUACCUAUAAGACUGGGAUAACUUCGGGAAACCGGAGCUAAUACCGGAUAAUAUAUUGAACCGCAUGGUUCAAUAGUGAAAGACGGUUUUGCUGUCACUUAUAGAUGGAUCCGCGCCGCAUUAGCUAGUUGGUAAGGUAACGGCUUACCAAGGCAACGAUGCGUAGCCGACCUGAGAGGGUGAUCGGCCAAACUUGAACUGGGACACGGUCCAGACUCCUACGGGAGGCAGCAGUAGGGAAUCUUCCGCAAUAGGCGAAAGCCUGACGGAGCAACGCCGCGUGAGUGAUGAAGGUCUUCGGAUCGUAAAACUCUGUUAUUAGGGAAGAACAAAUGUGUAAGUAACUAUGCACGUCUUGACGGUACCUAAUCAGAAAGCCACGGCUAACUACGUGCCAGCCGCCGCCGUAA